CCAGGUGUAGCCUUUAUUUCCUGUACACAUUUUCAGAAAAAAUGCAAUGAAAAGUAAGGAAUUUAGUAAAUUUAAUUGAAAUGUAACUCAGAAGACAGUGUAAAAUGGGCUGAGUACCUGAUAAAAUUGGCCAGUGAGAAAAGGACGAUCCACAUUCCAACCAGGAGUAGAUACUGAAUCCAUGUUCUAAUCUUCUCAAAUCUUCAAAUUGCCGCGGCAGUUAAAUACCACAAUGCCACAGCAGUUCACUUGUUAACUCGCAAAAGGACUGAUUUUAAAUAAUGUUUCUCAAAUUUAAUGGUUAGAUUUAGCUGCUGCAGAUGAAAAUUUUGGGAAAGCAAAGCAGGCGCG
This 351-nucleotide long non-coding RNA is filed under the name Nicotiana tabacum (common tobacco). RNAcentral's name for it is "long non-coding RNA (NTAB_LNC018104)". The record is from RNAcentral. Lineage: Eukaryota; Viridiplantae; Streptophyta; Magnoliopsida; Solanales; Solanaceae.